RNAcentral lists this ribosomal RNA (503 nucleotides) under fungal sp. 4884 YZ-2011. Its description in RNAcentral is "eukaryotic LSU rRNA". The stretch from base 153 to 306 matches the Rfam family "5.8S ribosomal RNA". Lineage: Eukaryota; Fungi. The record is from RNAcentral.
CAAGACCAUUGUGAACGUUACCUGUAACAUGUUGCCUCGGCGGGCGGCCCCUCCCUGGGGCCGCUGCCUCCCUUCGGGGGGGUGCCCGCCGGAGCGCCAAAAACUAUUUUGUAUUCUAGUGGCCUCUCUGAGAAAACAAGCAAAUAAGUUAAAACUUUCAACAACGGAUCUCUUGGUUCUGGCAUCGAUGAAGAACGCAGCGAAAUGCGAUAAGUAAUGUGAAUUGCAGAAUUCAGUGAAUCAUCGAAUCUUUGAACGCACAUUGCGCCCGCCAGUACUCUGGCGGGCAUGCCUGUUCGAGCGUCAUUUCAACCCUCAAGCUCCGCUUGGUGUUGGGGUCCUACGGCUGCCGUAGGCCCUGAAAGAAAGUGGCGGGCUCGCUAUAACUCCGAGCGUAGUAGUAACAUAUCUCGCUAGGGAGUCGUCGCGUGUUCCGGCCGUGAAAGCCCCAUCUUUUACACAAGGUUGACCUCGGAUCAGGUAGGAAUACCCGCUGAACUUAA